Molecule: ribosomal RNA, 778 nt
Filed under: Listeria seeligeri
Lineage: Bacteria; Bacillati; Bacillota; Bacilli; Caryophanales; Listeriaceae
Description: bacterial SSU rRNA
Rfam family: Bacterial small subunit ribosomal RNA
Source: RNAcentral
GGGGAGCAAACAGGAUUAGAUACCCUGGUAGUCCACGCCGUAAACGAUGAGUGCUAAGUGUUAGGGGGUUUCCGCCCCUUAGUGCUGCAGCUAACGCAUUAAGCACUCCGCCUGGGGAGUACGACCGCAAGGUUGAAACUCAAAGGAAUUGACGGGGGCCCGCACAAGCGGUGGAGCAUGUGGUUUAAUUCGAAGCAACGCGAAGAACCUUACCAGGUCUUGACAUCCUUUGACCACUCUGGAGACAGAGCUUUCCCUUCGGGGACAAAGUGACAGGUGGUGCAUGGUUGUCGUCAGCUCGUGUCGUGAGAUGUUGGGUUAAGUCCCGCAACGAGCGCAACCCUUAAUUUUAGUUGCCAGCAUUUAGUUGGGCACUCUAAAGUGACUGCCGGUGCAAGCCGGAGGAAGGUGGGGAUGACGUCAAAUCAUCAUGCCCCUUAUGACCUGGGCUACACACGUGCUACAAUGGAUGGUACAAAGGGUAGCGAAGCCGCGAGGUGGAGCCAAUCCCAUAAAACCAUUCUCAGUUCGGAUUGUAGGCUGCAACUCGCCUACAUGAAGCCGGAAUCGCUAGUAAUCGUGGAUCAGCAUGCCACGGUGAAUACGUUCCCGGGCCUUGUACACACCGCCCGUCACACCACGAGAGUUUGUAACACCCGAAGUCGGUAGGGUAACCUUUAUGGAGCCAGCCGCCGAAGGUGGGACAGAUAAUUGGGGUGAAGUCGUAACAAGGUAGCCGUAUCGGAAGGUGCGGCUGGAUCACCUCCUUUCUAAGGAA